AAUUGGAUUCAGGUCUGGGGAACGGGCAGGCCAGUCCAUAGCAUCAAUGCCUUCGUCUUGCAGGAACUGCUGACACACUCCAGCCACAUGAGGUCUAGCAUUGUCUUGCAUUAGGAGGAAAUCAGGGCCAACCGCACCAGCAUAUGGUCUCACAAGGGGUCUGAGGAUCUCAUCUCGGUACCUAAUGGCAGUCAGGCUACCUCUGGUGAGCACAUGGAGGGCUGUGCGGCCCC
Molecule: long non-coding RNA, 233 nt
Filed under: Pelobates cultripes (western spadefoot toad)
Lineage: Eukaryota; Metazoa; Chordata; Amphibia; Anura; Pelobatidae
Source: RNAcentral